Molecule: non-coding RNA, 22 nt
Filed under: Arabidopsis thaliana (thale cress)
Lineage: Eukaryota; Viridiplantae; Streptophyta; Magnoliopsida; Brassicales; Brassicaceae
Source: RNAcentral
UUAAAAAGCUCGUAGUUGAACC